AUUGAACGCUGGCGGCAGGCCUAACACAUGCAAGUCGAACGGUAGCACAAAGGAGCUUGCUCCUUGGGUGACGAGUGGCGGACGGGUGAGUAAUGUCUGGGAAACUGCCUGAUGGAGGGGGAUAACUACUGGAAACGGUAGCUAAUACCGCAUAACGUCGCAAGACCAAAGAGGGGGACCUUCGGGCCUCUUGCCAUCAGAUGUGCCCAGAUGGGAUUAGCUAGUAGGUGAGGUAAUGGCUCACCUAGGCGACGAUCCCUAGCUGGUCUGAGAGGAUGACCAGCCACACUGGAACUGAGACACGGUCCAGACUCCUACGGGAGGCAGCAGUGGGGAAUAUUGCACAAUGGGCGCAAGCCUGAUGCAGCCAUGCCGCGUGUAUGAAGAAGGCCUUCGGGUUGUAAAGUACUUUCAGCGGGGAGGAAGGUGAUACGGUUAAUAACCGUGUCAAUUGACGUUACCCGUAGAAGAAGCACCGGCUAACUCCGUGCCAGCAGCCGCCGUAA
RNAcentral lists this ribosomal RNA (506 nucleotides) under uncultured bacterium. RNAcentral describes it as "partial 16S ribosomal RNA". It matches the Rfam family "Bacterial small subunit ribosomal RNA", at positions 30 to 523 of the family's 1533-position model. The record is from RNAcentral.